GAACGGGUGAGUAACACGUGGGUAAUCUGCCCUGCACUUCGGGAUAAGCCUGGGAAACUGGGUCUAAUACCGAAUAGGACCAUUUAGCGCAUGCUUUAUGGUGGAAAGCUUUUGCGGUGUGGGAUGGGCCCGCGGCCUAUCAGCUUGUUGGUGGGGUGACGGCCUACCAAGGCGACGACGGGUAGCCGGCCUGAGAGGGUGUCCGGCCACACUGGGACUGAGAUACGGCCCAGACUCCUACGGGAGGCAGCAGUGGGGAAUAUUGCACAAUGGGCGCAAGCCUGAUGCAGCGACGCCGCGUGGGGGAUGACGGCCUUCGGGUUGUAAACCUCUUUCAGCAGGGACGAAGCGCAAGUGACGGUACCUGCAGAAGAAGCACCGGCCAACUACGUGCCAGCAGCCGCGGUAAUACGUAGGGUGCGAGCGUUGUCCGGAAUUACUGGGCGUAAAGAGCUCGUAGGUGGUUUGUCGCGUUGUUCGUGAAAACCGGGGGCUUAACCCUCGGCGUGCGGGCGAUACGGGCAGACUGGAGUACUGCAGGGGAGACUGGAAUUCCUGGUGUAGCGGUGGAAUGCGCAGAUAUCAGGAGGAACACCGGUGGCGAAGGCGGGUCUCUGGGCAGUAACUGACGCUGAG
This 636-nucleotide ribosomal RNA is filed under the name Mycobacterium sp. RNAcentral's name for it is "bacterial SSU rRNA". It matches the Rfam family "Bacterial small subunit ribosomal RNA", at positions 100 to 750 of the family's 1533-position model. Lineage: Bacteria; Bacillati; Actinomycetota; Actinomycetes; Mycobacteriales; Mycobacteriaceae. The record is from RNAcentral.